UGAGCUAAGUUGGAUGCAAAAAAUGGGUUCCUGUGUUGCAUACCUAUUGUGAUGGAAAUUUGUCCAUUUCGUUGUCCCUUUCGUCAURACAUCCUUUUGGAUGCUUUGUCGGACUAGAUAGUAGGGCUUGUGUUCCACGAACCAUCUCAUGGGAUCGUUCGGAUGGACCAYGAGCGCCUACUCGUUCUCUCGGAUGCGGAACUUUCUYCAUGGGUAUGGGGUCAUUGCCCCCUAUUUCCCAAAUCUUUAAGCGUUCGUCGCUUUACUGGAAUGACGCUCUUGCCUUGUCUUGGACCAUGUGGAGCUUUCGGGCUUCAUGAUGGAUCAUGCUUGGCGGACGUCGUGAAGGAAUGC
This 354-nucleotide unclassified non-coding RNA is filed under the name Metrosideros robusta. Its description in RNAcentral is "partial external transcribed spacer". Lineage: Eukaryota; Viridiplantae; Streptophyta; Magnoliopsida; Myrtales; Myrtaceae. The record is from RNAcentral.